Molecule: ribosomal RNA, 263 nt
Filed under: uncultured bacterium
Lineage: Bacteria
Description: partial 16S ribosomal RNA
Rfam family: Bacterial small subunit ribosomal RNA
Source: RNAcentral
CUUAGUGGCGGACGGGUGAGUAACGCGUGGGUAACCUGCCUUACACAGGGGGAUAACACUUAGAAAUAGGUGCUAAUACCGCAUAAGCGCACAGUCCCGCAUGGGACAGAGUGAAAAACAUUAGUGGUGUAAGAUGGACCCGCGUCUGAUUAGCUUGUUGGCGGGGUAACGGCCCACCAAGGCGACGAUCAGUAGCCGGCCUGAGAGGGUGGACGGCCACAUUGGGACUGAGACACGGCCCAAACUCCUACGGAAGGCAGCAG